RNAcentral lists this ribosomal RNA (253 nucleotides) under uncultured bacterium. RNAcentral describes it as "partial 16S ribosomal RNA". It matches the Rfam family "Bacterial small subunit ribosomal RNA", at positions 524 to 776 of the family's 1533-position model. The record is from RNAcentral.
UAUAGAGGUCUCGAGCGUUGUUCGGAUUCAUUGGGCGUAAAGGGUGCGUAGGUGGCGCUGUAAGUCGGGUGUGAAAUCCUGAGGCUUAACCUCGGAACUGCAUUCGAUACUGCGGCGCUUGAGGACUGGAGAGGAGACUGGAAUUCAUGGUGUAGCAGUGAAAUGCGUAGAGAUCAUGAGGAAGACCAGUGGCGAAGGCGGGUCUCUGGACAGUUCCUGACACUGAGGCACGAAGGCCAGGGGAGCAAACGGG